Molecule: long non-coding RNA, 1832 nt
Organism: Sander lucioperca (pikeperch)
Lineage: Eukaryota; Metazoa; Chordata; Actinopteri; Perciformes; Percidae
Exons: 3
Source: RefSeq, a predicted model, not a curated record
UAUUAGCAAUAAUGCGGGAAAACAAGCAGCCUCUCCCAGCUGAUUCAUUGUAAAAAAGCAAAUUGGCGGCAGUCAAACUGAAUGUGUAAAUAAAAUCACAUAAUGAUGGAGCUUUUCAACGUGGACAAAUCUCAGAGCGACAGCCUUGUUGACGUGUAGAAUUCACAAAAUGGCAGCGGUGGGUGUUGCAAAACAAACUUAACAAACUGCGGUGCUGUUACAACGGGCACUUGGAGCAGCCGCACUCCAGAGCAGUUUCCAUCUCCUCGGAGUACGAGGUGCCGUCGGUGCAGCGGAAAACCGCCUUCCUCCUUCUGCUUUUUGUGACGCCACAGCAAACACCUGGAGGUGCUGCUGCCUGGCAGGAUCGGGGACAAUCCAUGCGGGGAAUCUUGGUCGUGGACGUGCAUGUUCUCAUUGGGUGGUGGCGCUUCAGCUGCUCCCUCACCAUCUCUCCUUGACAUGUAAGCCCGGUGUAGCCUGGCUGACAGUGGCAGACCGGCUCGCCUCCCUCUGACACACGACACUCCCCGUGUCCGCAGCGCUGCCCCCUGCAGGCUGGAGGCUCCUGCCGUCGAUCGCAAUACUGACCCUGGUAGCCUUCACUGCACUGGCAACUGUAGGACUGACCCUUCGGCACACACAGACCAUGAACACAUCUGGAGUGGAAAGAAGGAAAGAGGGAAGACAGGUUAGAGUUAUUUUGGGUUACUUACAUACAUAGUACAUGCAUAUGACUCUCUGAAUAUUUACAUCCAUACAUUUUUGCCCAGUCUCUUCUGUCUCAGCUUACCUGCUGUUCUGACAGGCGUUGGGUGCUGUUGUCUGGUCACACAAGGCCCCGGUGCGGCCUGGAGGACAAUCACAUGUUACCCCCGUUUCUCCUCCCUCCCUGCACGCACCCUGGGCACACACACUGCAGGAAUGGCACCCAGCAAGAAUGCCCUCACCCUGGUGACAGAACAAGAAAGGGAGAAAAUACUGUCAGGGGAGCUAAGUCAAAAGGCUUUUUAAACGCUAAUAGAAGAGAGCAGGGGGGGUGUAACCUGACAAACAUGUUGAUGUUGCAUGAAUGCUACAGCCUUCACCAGAAGGCCAGUGUAAAUAGAGCUCCAACAUGGAGGGAUGACAUCUGUUCUUUUCUCCAGCUGCUACCAGCAUGGGUUUGUUGACCUAAAAAUCUGUCAAAACGGUUUCUACUGUUGCUUAUAAAAUGCAGCAUUAUUGUCAUAAGAUUUUGCACUAUAAUUUUGUGCAUGUCUGCUUUCCUUUGCAAAACAUAACUUUGUUUGCUAAUAUGCUUACAAGACACACUUACAGUUGAAAGGGUUAUGACUAUCACAUGAAUAUCACCAAAAGAGGUAAUGCAUUUCUCAAUAUGGCUUUUAAGGAUGCUGCAUAAUAUACAUGAUGCCGCUUUUGCCAAAAAUGAAUCUUCCCUGUGUAAUUACCUUGCUGUCGACCCCAUGUGGUCGCACUCCUGCGACUCGGUAACUCAGGUCUUGAGGCUCACCGUUGAUUCGGACAUUGUGGAUGCAUCCAUUAAAAGCCUGAGGGAAACGUUCAGGGCUGGGUCGUAGACCUGAGGCCACCACCUGAGAUGGUACGCCUGGAAAAUGAAGGAGAACAAGACAGGAAGUUAUGGAAAAAGUAGAAUGUGAAUAAAAAGAAAUGAAAGUGGAGAAGAUGGAAGAAAUGGGAUAAAAGAAUGGAAAGAAAAUAUGGGAAACAGAGAAAAAAGAAAGCAAAUUGAAAGGUUUGCUUGAUUAAUACGCUAAAACUCAUCUCUGGUGUCAUUCUUGGUUGCCAGUAAAAUAAAAUCAGCGUCAUAG